CCUACGGGAGGCAGCAGUGGGGAAUAUUGGGCAAUGGGCGCAAGCCUGACCCAGCAACGCCGCGUGAAGGAAGAAGGCUUUCGGGUUGUAAACUUCUUUUCUCAGGGACGAAGAAAGUGACGGUACCUGAGGACUACGCCACGGCUAACUCCGGGCCAGAAGCCGCGGGAAGACGUAGGUGGCAAGCGUGAUCCGCAUUUAUUGGGUGUAAAGGGCGGGUAGGCGGGAGCGCAAGUCAGAUGUGAACACGCAGGGCUCAACCCUGAGCCUGCAUUUGAAACUGUGUUUCUUGAGUGCUGGAGAGGCAAUCGGCGUUCCGUGUGUAGCGGUGAAAUGCGUAGAUAUACGGAGGAACACCAGUGGCGCAGGCGGAUUGCUGGACAGUAACUGACGCUGAGGCGCGAACGCGUGGGGAGCAAACAGGAUUAGAUACCCCAGUAGUC
This 443-nucleotide ribosomal RNA is filed under the name uncultured bacterium. RNAcentral's name for it is "partial 16S ribosomal RNA". It matches the Rfam family "Bacterial small subunit ribosomal RNA", at positions 338 to 795 of the family's 1533-position model. The record is from RNAcentral.